GUAAUGACUGGACUAAGCAUGUAGUGCCGACGGCGUAGUAAUUUCGGACGGGGGUUCAAAUCCCCCCAGCUCCACCA
RNAcentral lists this transfer-messenger RNA (77 nucleotides) under Yersinia kristensenii. Its description in RNAcentral is "partial transfer-messenger RNA". It matches the Rfam family "transfer-messenger RNA", at positions 296 to 374 of the family's 374-position model. Rfam says of the family: Bacterial tmRNA, also known as 10Sa RNA or SsrA, is named for its dual tRNA and mRNA-like properties. Its role is to liberate the mRNA from a stalled ribosome. The record is from RNAcentral. Lineage: Bacteria; Pseudomonadati; Pseudomonadota; Gammaproteobacteria; Enterobacterales; Yersiniaceae.